AUCUGAGGAAAUAGACAAGUUUAGUGGGAAGCUGAGGAAACUUCUUCCUUGCAGCUGGCCUCCAAGGGGCUGCAAGGUCCCUGGCGAGUCUUGUCCUGAAGGGCUGGGCGGCGGAGGGAGGCCUCUCUAUCGCCCUUCUUCUGGCCCUUCCUUUUUUUCCUUCCCUCCCUCCCUCCCUCUCUUGAACCCAGGACCAGCAUCUCCCAGCCUGACCUGGAUGGAUGGCUCCCUUUUCCCUCCGGGAUCAGGGUUCGCUUGAGCAGAGAAGCCCAGUGCUUGGGCGAGUCACACUCUCUCAGCCUCAAAGGAAAACAAAACGCCCUCUGAAGAAACCUGGGCAAAGAAACUCCAGGAUCGGGUCGCCUUUACUUCACAACCAGGGAUGGCGAGCGCUUCAGACUGUUAACUUUUUUGGGGGUGUGUGUGUGUUACACACAAGAGUUUCUUUUCCCCCCUCCUUUUCUUGGUGGCCUUUUGGACGUCGCCUCUCCUGUCUGGAUAUAUAGAUGAUGUCUCUGUGUGUAUGAUCCCUGCUGGGACCCUUUCUUCUUGCCUGCCUUCAGGGAUGCACUCAAGGAUCAUGUGGCAAAUGAAAGGUGUCACUGGUGUACAGAAGAAGCUGUCCGAAAGACUGAGAUGCCAAAGUCCCAACUGUUCGUACUGAAAGGACUUUGCCUGGUGGAAAAGCCUCCUUUGAAAUGUCGGGAAAUGUUUUGCUCAUGACCAUUUGUAAGAUUUCAAACAGAUUCUACAAUCAACAGAAAUGGAGCUUGGGAUCUUCUGCUACCCUCGCACGGAUAUCUCAAAGUAUCUCAUCAUAUCUCUGUUCACAAGGAAGCAGUUAAUUUGGGUUUCUGCCACUUCACUUCAAGGUUUUCACACACUCCCUUCUUGGCAGGUGUGACUUGAUAUUCAUCUCCACUGUAGACCCGAAAAUCACUUCCAAUAAGAUGACAAGAAUUUGGCUCAAAUAGGAGUGUGUUUUUCCUUCUUUUCAUGAAGGUUUCAAGUUUAUCUGUGUAGACUAGAAGCAACAGUGAAUUUGGAAAACAUCACACAAUCUUUAAAUUUCUGUGAGUGGUUUUAUGUUCCCUGUUUCAUUCCUGGUAUAAUGAUUAAGCAAAAGGUCUUGAUGCCCAAGAAAAAGAAAGUUUGGACAAGAAAAAUACAGUGCUUGGACAACAACUAAUAUCAAUAACUGGAGAAAUUAUGGUUAGUCCAUCAAUGACUUUAUGAUAUGGUAAAAUUGUACCUUAGGAGACAAAAUUGUCAUUCUUCCAUCAAAAUGAAAUCAUGAUGUAACACAUACCUUUACUAAAGUAUCAACCUGUAUGAACACCAUCGUCAAUAAGUAUGAGGAUACAUUUGGAUAAGAUAAAGGGAACGAGUACAUUAGAACCUAUGACAAAUUACUUGUGCAAUAAAUGAGCUGAGAGUUCCUGGUCCAGAAAUUUCCAAAGUCUGAUUCUAGAUAGCCCCCUGGCAAAGUGUAUACACAGGUAGAAAUACAUUGGGGUUUAAAAAAAAAAACCUAAUAAAACAACUGUCUUUUUGAUA
Molecule: long non-coding RNA, 1557 nt
Organism: Sceloporus undulatus (fence lizard)
Lineage: Eukaryota; Metazoa; Chordata; Lepidosauria; Squamata; Phrynosomatidae
Exons: 2
Source: RefSeq, a predicted model, not a curated record